GACGAACGCUGGCGGCGUGCUUAACACAUGCAAGUCGAACGGAAAGGCCCUGCUUUUGUGGGGUGCUCGAGUGGCGAACGGGUGAGUAACACGUGAGUAACCUGCCCUUGACUUUGGGAUAACUUCAGGAAACUGGGGCUAAUACCGGAUAGGAGCUCCUGCUGCAUGGUGGGGGUUGGAAAGUUUCGGCGGUUGGGGAUGGACUCGCGGCUUAUCAGCUUGUUGGUGGGGUAGUGGCUUACCAAGGGUUUGACGGGUAGCCGGCCUGAGAGGGUGACCGGCCACAUUGGGACUGAGGUACGGACCAGACUCCUACGGGAGGCAGCAGUGGAGAGUAUGGCACAAUGGGCGGAAGCCUGAUGCAGCAACGCCGCGUGCGGAAUGACGGCCUUCGGGUUGUAAACCGCUUUCGCCUGUGACGAAGCGUGAGUGACGGUAAUGGGUAAAGAAGCACCGGCUAACUACGUG
This 468-nucleotide ribosomal RNA is filed under the name uncultured bacterium. Its description in RNAcentral is "partial 16S ribosomal RNA". It matches the Rfam family "Bacterial small subunit ribosomal RNA", at positions 28 to 507 of the family's 1533-position model. The record is from RNAcentral.